UACAGAGGGUGCAAGCGUUGUUCGGAAUUAUUGGGCGUAAAGCGCGUGUAGGCGGCAUGGCAAGUCGGGUGUGAAAGCCCUCAGCUUAACUGAGGAAGUGCGCCCGAAACUGCCGUGCUUGAGUGCCGGAGAGGGUGGCGGAAUUCCCAAAGUAGAGAUGAAAUUCGUAGAUAUGGGGAGGAACACCGGUGGCGAAGGCGGCCACCUGGACGGUAACUGACGCUGAGACGCGAAAGCGUGGGGAGCAAACAGG
This 253-nucleotide ribosomal RNA is filed under the name uncultured bacterium. Its description in RNAcentral is "partial 16S ribosomal RNA". It matches the Rfam family "Bacterial small subunit ribosomal RNA", at positions 524 to 776 of the family's 1533-position model. The record is from RNAcentral.